UCGGGGAUUCGAAAUCGAGUUGGGGGUUUCGAGUUAGGGUUCUAAAUCGAUUUGGGGGUUUCGUUUUAUGGUUGUAAAUCGUCAUGAGGGUUCAAUUUAGGGUUCGUUUCAACAUAAUGUUUCGUCAUUAUGUUCUAAUCAUUUCGAUUUCUGGUACAGAUGGAUCCCGCAGAAGAGAGAAGAGAGACAAAGAGGCAAAAGGAGUACAUCAACAUGCUAGGAUACGUGGCCGAUUCAGAAUACAGGAUUCCUACAAGGUGUCUGUGUG
RNAcentral lists this long non-coding RNA (268 nucleotides) under Brassica napus (rape). RNAcentral's name for it is "long non-coding RNA (BNAP_LNC023107)". The record is from RNAcentral. Lineage: Eukaryota; Viridiplantae; Streptophyta; Magnoliopsida; Brassicales; Brassicaceae.